This 396-nucleotide ribosomal RNA is filed under the name uncultured bacterium. RNAcentral's name for it is "partial 16S ribosomal RNA". It matches the Rfam family "Bacterial small subunit ribosomal RNA", at positions 523 to 918 of the family's 1533-position model. The record is from RNAcentral.
AUACGUAGGUGGCAAGCGUUGUCCGGAAUUAUUGGGCGUAAAGCGCAUGUAGGCGGUUUGGUAAGUCGGUCGUGAAAAUGCGGUGCUUAACGCCGUAUGGCGAUUGAAACUGCUGAACUUGAGUGCAGGAGAGGAAAGGGGAACUCCCAGUGUAGCGGUGAAAUGCGUAGAUAUUGGGAAGGACACCGGUGGCGAAGGCGCCUUUCUGGACUGUGUCUGACGCUCAGAUGCGAAAGCCAGGGUAGCGAACGGGAAUAGAUUCCCCGGUAGUCCUGGCCGUAAACGAUGGGUACUAGGUGUGGGAGGUAUCGACUCCUUCCGUGCCGGAGUUAACGCAAUAAGUAUUCCGCCUGGGGAGUACGGCCGCAAGGUUGAAACUCAAAUGAAUUGACGGGG